This 87-nucleotide ribosomal RNA is filed under the name Meriones unguiculatus (Mongolian gerbil). The record is from RNAcentral. Lineage: Eukaryota; Metazoa; Chordata; Mammalia; Rodentia; Muridae.
GCCUACAACCAUAUCAUCUUGAAUGCACCUGGCCUUGUCUGAUCUUGGAAGCUAAGCAGUGUUGGGCUUGACUAGUACUUGUAUGGG